AGAGUUUGAUCCUGGCUCAGGAUGAACGCUGGCGGCGUGCUUAACACAUGCAAGUCGAGCGAAGCACAUCUGUUGAUUCUUCGGGUGAUUCAGCUGUGACUGAGCGGCGGACGGGUGAGUAACGCGUGGGUAACCUGCCUCAUACAGGGGGAUAACAGUUGGAAACGACUGCUAAUACCGCAUAAGCGCACAGCAUCGCAUGAUGCAGUGUGAAAAACUCCGGUGGUAUGAGAUGGACCCGCGUUAGAUUAGCUUGUUGGUGGGGUAACGGCCUACCAAGGCGACGAUCUAUAGCCGGACUGAGAGGUCGAACGGCCACAUUGGGACUGAGACACGGCCCAAACUCCUACGGGAGGCAGCAGUGGGGAAUAUUGCACAAUGGGGGAAACCCUGAUGCAGCGACGCCGCGUGAGCGAAGAAGUAUUUCGGUAUGUAAAGCUCUAUCAGCAGGGAAGAAAAUGACGGUACCUGACUAAGAAGCCCCGGCUAACUACGUGCCAGCAGCCGCGGUAAUACGUAGGGGGCAAGCGUUAUCCGGAUUUACUGGGUGUAAAGGGAGCGUAGACGGCAAGGUAAGUCUGAAGUGAAAUGCCGGGGCUCAACCCCGGAACUGCUUUGGAAACUAUCUCGCUCGAGUACCGGAGGGGUAAGCGGAAUUCCUAGUGUAGCGGUGAAAUGCGUAGAUAUUAGGAGGAACACCAGUGGCGAAGGCGGCUUACUGGACGGUAACUGACGUUGAGGCUCGAAAGCGUGGGGAGCAAACAGGAUUAGAUACCCUGGUAGUCCACGCCGUAAACGAUGA
Molecule: ribosomal RNA, 802 nt
Filed under: uncultured bacterium
Lineage: Bacteria
Description: bacterial SSU rRNA
Rfam family: Bacterial small subunit ribosomal RNA
Source: RNAcentral